GACGAACGCUGGCGGCGUGCUUAACACAUGCAAGUCGAACGGAAAGGCCCUGCUUUUGUGGGGUGCUCGAGUGGCGAACGGGUGAGUAACACGUGAGUAACCUGCCCUUGACUUUGGGAUAACUUCAGGAAACUGGGGCUAAUACCGGAUAGGAGCUCCUGCUGCAUGGUGGGGGUUGGAAAUUUUCGGCGGUUGGGGAUGGACUCGCGGCUUAUCAGCUUGUUGGUGGGGUAGUGGCUUACCAAGGCUUUGACGGGUAGCCGGCCUGAGAGGGUGACCGGCCACAUGGGGACUGAGAGACGGCCCAGACUGCUACGGGAGGCAGUAGGGGGGAAUAUGGCACAAUGGGCGGAAGCCUGAUGCAGCAACGCCGCGUGCGGGAUGACGGCCUUCGGGGUGUAAACCGCUGUCGCCUGUGACGAAGCGUGAGUGACGGUAAUGGGUAAAGAAGCACCGGCUAACUACGUG
Molecule: ribosomal RNA, 468 nt
Filed under: uncultured bacterium
Lineage: Bacteria
Description: partial 16S ribosomal RNA
Rfam family: Bacterial small subunit ribosomal RNA
Source: RNAcentral